Molecule: transfer RNA, 71 nt
Filed under: Akkermansiaceae bacterium
Lineage: Bacteria; Pseudomonadati; Verrucomicrobiota; Verrucomicrobiia; Verrucomicrobiales; Akkermansiaceae
Description: tRNA-Gly
Rfam family: tRNA
About the family: Transfer RNA (tRNA) molecules are approximately 80 nucleotides in length. Their secondary structure includes four short double-helical elements and three loops (D, anti-codon, and T loops).
Source: RNAcentral
GCGGGUAUAGCUUAACGGUAAAGCCCCAGCCUUCCAAGCUGGUUAUGUCGGUUCGAUUCCGUCUACCCGCU